GUAAGACUCUUUCGGUCCGGAACGAAAUACGACGUACGCGAAUAACGUGCGUGGAUGACGGUACUGGAAGAAGAAGCACCGGCUAACUACGUGC
This 94-nucleotide ribosomal RNA is filed under the name uncultured bacterium. RNAcentral describes it as "partial 16S ribosomal RNA". The record is from RNAcentral.